UGUGACUUGUUGGGCAUCCUGAUUAUU
RNAcentral lists this non-coding RNA (27 nucleotides) under Mus musculus (house mouse). The record is from RNAcentral. Lineage: Eukaryota; Metazoa; Chordata; Mammalia; Rodentia; Muridae.